GCGUAUACUAAUAUUGCUGCAGUUAAAAAGCUCGUAGUUGAAUUUCUGGUGACACGGUCUGGCCGGUUACUUAAUUGUGACUUGUGCCAUCGCCUUGUUGCCAUCUUUUGGUUUAACCAAUCUGGCAUUAGGUUGUCGGGUUGGUGAUACCAAUCGUUUACUGUGAAGAAAUUAGAGUGUUCAAAGCAGGCUUAUGCCGUUGAAUAUUUUAGCAUGGAAUAAUAAGAUAGGACUCUGGUGCUAUUUUGUUGGUUUGCGCACUAGAGUAAUGAUUAAUAGGGACAGUUGGGGAUAUUUGUACUAGGGAAUUAGAGGUGAAAUUCUUGGAUUUCCUUAUGACAAACGACUGCGAAAGCAUUUAUCAGGGAUGUUUUCAUUAAUCAAGAACGAAAGUUAGGGGAUCGAAGAUGAUUA
This 414-nucleotide ribosomal RNA is filed under the name Leptocylindrus hargravesii. Its description in RNAcentral is "SSU rRNA". It matches the Rfam family "Eukaryotic small subunit ribosomal RNA", at positions 597 to 1010 of the family's 1831-position model. Lineage: Eukaryota; Bacillariophyta; Leptocylindrophyceae; Leptocylindrales; Leptocylindraceae. The record is from RNAcentral.